UGAUUGCUAAAAUUCAUUGCAUGUAGCUUUUUGGCAUUUAAUUCAAUAUCCUUAGUCAACUUAUCAAAUUAACAAUCAAAAUUUUCAAUUAAAUAAUGAUUGGCUUUGAGACAUAUGAUUGAAGUCUGAUCAACCGAUUAAUCGUAAAGGCGUAGUCAUCGCUCAUUGGUAAUAGCCAUUUUUGUUUUGUCUACUCUAAAAAAAAUUUAAUCGCUAAAAAGUAAAUUGUUUGAAUUUCUCGGAUUAAAGCUGUUUAUUCGUUUCUUUAAAAAUAAAAAAUGCCGAUGCUAUGUGGAGGUUGGGGUCAAACUAAAGAUGCUGAUGAUUUAACUCAUCGUAUCGUAGCCCAGGUGAAACCGGAACUUGAACGUAAACUUAAUCGAGAGUUUGAGCAGCUCAGUGCAGUAAGUUACAAGUCUCAAAUUGUAAAUGGAACCAACUACUUGAUUAAGGCAAAAGCAAGCGAUGACGAACAUGUUCACAUUCGCGUUCAUUUGCCAAUUCGAUCCGAAGAAGCCAGUCUGGUUAAUCACAAGGACAAAGUGCCACCCUCUGAUGAAUUGGAAGUUUUUUAAUCAAUUUCUCGAUCCGAUACGAGCCAAGCUCGCAGAGUCUCUUCCAUUUUUCCAUAUAAUUUCUAACAACGCAAAAUAAUUAGUUGUUUAACAACUUUAUAACUCAACUUUUCAGCCAUCUUCUGAUUCAUUCAGUCUCCAUGGUUAAAAAGUGUUAUUGAUGUAACCCCGGUGAAUAUUCAAUUGUAUCAUGAAUAACUAAAUAAGGUGUGUGAAAUAUUCAUGAUCUUGAUGAAAUAAAAAAUAUACAUGUUUCUAUUAAUUCAAAGUGAAAUUAAACGUAACAAUAAACCAUUUAAGAAACGUUAA
Tetranychus urticae (two-spotted spider mite) is the source of this 884-nucleotide non-coding RNA. The record is from RefSeq and is a predicted model, not a curated record. Lineage: Eukaryota; Metazoa; Arthropoda; Arachnida; Trombidiformes; Tetranychidae.